AGUGAACGCUGGCGGUAGGCCUAACGCAUGCAAGUCGAACGGCAGCACAGUAAGAGCUUGCUCUUACGGGUGGCGAGUGGCGGACGGGUGAGGAAUACAUCGGAAUCUACUUUUUCGUGGGGGAUAAUGUAGGGAAACUUACGCUAAUACCGCAUACGACCUACGGGUGAAAGCAGGGGAUCUUCGGACCUUGCGCGAUUGAAUGAGCCGAUGUCGGAUUAGCUAGUUGGCGGGGUAAAGGCCCACCAAGGCGACGAUCCGUAGCUGGUCUGAGAGGAUGAUCAGCCACACUGGAACUGAGACACGGUCCAGACUCCUACGGGAGGCGGCAGUGGGGAAUAUUGGACAAUGGGCGCAAGCCUGAUCCAGCCAUACCGCGUGGGUGAAGAAGGCCUUCGGGUUGUAAAGCCCUUUUGUUGGGAAAGAAAAGCAGCAGGUUAAUACCCCGCUGUUCUGACGGUACCCAAAGAAUAAGCACCGGCUAACUUCGUG
Molecule: ribosomal RNA, 492 nt
Filed under: uncultured bacterium
Lineage: Bacteria
Description: partial 16S ribosomal RNA
Rfam family: Bacterial small subunit ribosomal RNA
Source: RNAcentral